Molecule: non-coding RNA, 20 nt
Filed under: Arabidopsis thaliana (thale cress)
Lineage: Eukaryota; Viridiplantae; Streptophyta; Magnoliopsida; Brassicales; Brassicaceae
Source: RNAcentral
AGGAGAAGGAGCAGAAUCGU